UAGGGAAUCUUCCGCAAUGGACGCAAGUCUGACGGAGCAACGCCGCGUGAGUGAAGAAGGAUUUCGGUUCGUAAAACUCUGUUGUUAGAGAAGAACAGCGCAUAGAGUAACUGUUAUGCGUGUGACGGUAUCUAACCAGAAAGCCACGGCUAACUACGUGCCAGCAGCCGCGGUAAUACGUAGGUGGCAAGCGUUGUCCGGAUUUAUUGGGCGUAAAGCGAGCGCAGGCGGUUAGAUAAGUCUGAAGUUAAAGGCAGUGGCUCAACCAUUGUAGGCUUUGGAAACUGUUUAACUUGAGUGCAGAAGGGGAGAGUGGAAUUCCAUGUGUAGCGGUGAAAUGCGUAGAUAUAUGGAGGAACACCGGUGGCGAAAGCGGCUAUCUGGUCUGUAACUGACGCUGAGGCUCGAAAGCGUGGGGAGCGAACAGG
Molecule: ribosomal RNA, 428 nt
Filed under: Bacteroidota bacterium
Lineage: Bacteria; Pseudomonadati; Bacteroidota
Description: Bacteroidetes bacterium partial 16S ribosomal RNA
Rfam family: Bacterial small subunit ribosomal RNA
Source: RNAcentral